This 1958-nucleotide unclassified non-coding RNA is filed under the name Hevea brasiliensis (rubber tree). The record is from RNAcentral. Lineage: Eukaryota; Viridiplantae; Streptophyta; Magnoliopsida; Malpighiales; Euphorbiaceae.
CACGCCACUGCCACCACGUCCUCCGCCCCCACUCCUUAUAUAACUGCCUCCUUGAUAUCCCCAUCUCAGCCAUCACUAAACCAACACUACUCUAUCUCUCUCUAAAUCUUCUCUUGUUCUUCCUGAGUCGGUAGCAAAAUCAACUAUGGCUGAAGAGGUUCAAAAGGCUCCCCAUGAAGCAGUGGUAGUUGUUGCUGAUGUUCCUCAGGCUGAGAAAAUGACACCAACUCCAGAACCACCGCUGCCAGUAAUGCCUGUGGUUGAGAAAGAGGCACCGCCAGUGCCGGAAACUGAGGAGGAACCGAUGAAGCCAAAGCUGCAGGUUGAGGAAGCUGUAGAAACUGAGGCAUCCAAAUCCAGUGGCGAGAAUGAUGAGAAGAUUCCUGAGUCUGUUUGUUUUAAAGAAGAGAGCACUAAAGUAACUGACCUUUCUGAUUCUGAGAAGAAAGGGCUGCAAGAGCUUAGAGAACUAGUUCAAGAAGCUCUUAACACGCAUGAAUUCGGUACUAAAAUACCACCAACACCAGCGGCAGCGGCCAAAGGAGAAGAAGGUAAAGAAGCUGUCGGGGCAGUGGAGGAGCAAAAACCAGUCCAGGAGGCAACACCGGCACCAGAAGAAGAACAUGUAAAGGCAGAGCCUGAAGUUGUAGCAGAAACAAAAGACGAAGUCGUAAAAGAAAAGAUUGAAACGGUGGAAACUGAGGUUACUGAAGAAAAGGCGGCUCCUGCUGCUACUGAUGCUGUAGACGAUGACGGUGCAAAGACUGUGGAAGCCAUUGAAGAGACAAUCGUAGCAGUCUCUUCUUCUGCUCCACAGGAGCAGAGUUUGCCCCUGGAAAAAGAGUCCGAAGCAAAGUCUGCAUCAACAGUGAAUGAGGAAGCAAAAGAUGUUAUAAUAGCCGCACCAGAGGACGUAUCCAUCUGGGGUAUUCCGCUUCUAGCAGAUGAAAGGAGCGAUGUGAUUCUUCUAAAAUUUCUGCGUGCAAGGGAUUUCAAGGUGAGAGAUGCAUUCACCAUGCUCAAAAACACUAUUCAAUGGAGAAAGGAGUUUGGCAUUGAUGAAUUGCUUGAACAAGACCUGGGUGAUGAUUUGGGGAAGGUGGUUUUUAUGCAUGGUUUUGAUAAAGAAGGGCACCCAGUAUGCUACAAUGUGUAUGGCGAAUUUCAAGACAAGGACCUUUACCAGAAGAGUUUUUCUGAUGAGGAGAAAAGGAACAGAUUCUUGAGGUGGAGAAUUCAGUUCCUGGAAAAGAGUAUCAGGAAAUUGGAUUUCAGACCUGGUGGGAUUUCCACCAUUGUUCAGGUUAAUGACUUGAAGAAUUCUCCUGGACCUAGUAAGAGGGAACUAAGACAAGCUACCAAGCAGGCACUUCAAUUGCUCCAAGACAACUAUCCUGAAUUUGUAGCAAAACAGGUGUUCAUCAACGUGCCUUGGUGGUACCUGGCAGUUAAUAAAAUGAUAAGCCCAUUUUUGACUCAGAGGACUAGAAGCAAGUUUGCAUUUGCUAGCCCUUCCAAAUCUGCAGAGACCCUUUUGAGGUAUAUUGCCGCUGAGCAAAUACCACUUAAAUACGGAGGACUGAGUAAAGAUGGGGAGUUUUGCACAGCCGAUGCUGUUACUGAGAUCACAAUGAAGCCAGCAGCAAAGCACACUGUUGAAUUCCCUGUUUCUGAGACAUGCCUGUUAACUUGGGAAGUCCGAGUAGUGGGAUGGGAUGUGACCUAUGGGGCAGAAUUUGUGCCUAGUGCUGAAGAAAGCUACACAGUAAUAAUUCAGAAGGCAAGAAAGCUUACUGCAACUGAAGAACCAGUAGUCUGCAACAGUUUCAAAAUCGGCGAGCCGGGUAAGGUUGUGAUCACCAUUGACAAUACAACCUCAAAGAAAAAGAAGCUCCUUUAUCGUCUGAAAACAAAGGUCUCUGCUGAUUGAACCAGCACAGGGUGAAAGGGUUUGGAUA